RNAcentral lists this ribosomal RNA (467 nucleotides) under uncultured bacterium. Its description in RNAcentral is "partial 16S ribosomal RNA". It matches the Rfam family "Bacterial small subunit ribosomal RNA", at positions 28 to 506 of the family's 1533-position model. The record is from RNAcentral.
GACGAACGCUGGCGGCGUGCUUAACACAUGCAAGUCGAACGGAAAGGCCCUGCUUUUGUGGGGUGCUCGAGUGGCGAACGGGUGAGUAACACGUGAGUAACCUGCCCUUGACUUUGGGAUAACUUCAGGAAACUGGGGCUAAUACCGGAUAGGAGCUCCUGCUGCAUGGUGGGGGUUGGAAAGUUUCGGCGGUUGGGGAUGGACUCGCGGCUUAUCAGCUUGUUGGUGGGGUAGUGGCUUACCAAGGCUUUGACGGGUAGCCGGCCUGAGAGGGUGACCGGCCACAUUGGGACUGAGAUACGGCCCAGACUCCUACGGGAGGCAGCAGUGGGGAAUAUGGUACAAUGGGCGGAAGCCUGAUGCAGCAACGCCGCGUGCGGGAUGACGGCCUUCGGGUUGUAAACCGCUUUCGCCUGUGACGAAGCGUGAGUGACGGUAAUGGGUAAAGAAGCACCGGCUAACUACGU